Long non-coding RNA from Bos taurus (domestic cattle), 823 nucleotides. The record is from Ensembl. NCBI's taxonomy places the organism in Eukaryota, Metazoa, Chordata, Mammalia, Artiodactyla, Bovidae.
AGUUAACAUGGUGCGUGGCCCUGCAGCUGAGGGACUGGAAACUCGGGUCCUGAAGCCAGACUGGCUGGGCUCUCUCCUGCCCCUGCCACCGCCCAGCUGUGCAACCUGGAUGAGGCUGAGGGUCUUCACCCACCCCCGCCAUCAUAUGGGGCCACUGAAAGAUGGCAUGAGGCAUCAGGGGUGGCAGCCUGGAGAGUGGAAAGCAGGCAACAAGCUUGAAAUGCUAUUGCGAUUCAUGGCUGCAAGACUCUGCCUUUGGACUCCCUGGUGGUCUGGUGGUCAAGAACCCACCUGCCAGUGCAGGAGACACGGAUUCAGUCCCUGGUACGGGAAGAUAUCACAUGCCGUGGGGAACCAAGCCCGUGUGCCACAACUCUCGAGCCUGCGCACUAGAGCCCAGGAACCACAACCACUGGGCCCAUGUGCUGUAACUACUGGAGCCCAAGUGCCCUAGAAUCCAGGCUCCGCAGCAGGAGAAGCCACUGCAGUGAGAAGCCCGUGCACUGCAACUAGAGAGUAACCCCGGCUUACCACAGCUAGACAAAGCCCACACACAGCAAAGAAGACCCAGCCCAGCCAAAAACUUGAUAUACUUUUUCAAAAAGACUUUGCCUUCCACUUAGUGGCCCGUCUUGCUCGGUUCUGGUUUGAACUGAGUAUUAUGUGACUACAGAACAGACUCCUGUGUGUUGAACCCCUCCUGUGUACCAGGCACCUUGAUGAUCUCAUUUCACCAGCACAUCAGCUCUACAGCCUGGGGAUUCCUAUGCUGGUCUCCAUUUAUCUAAGGAGGAGACUCAGAUGCAGAGAGUUUGCAUCAUUU